RNAcentral lists this ribosomal RNA (354 nucleotides) under Triticum aestivum (bread wheat). RNAcentral describes it as "partial small subunit ribosomal RNA". The record is from RNAcentral. Lineage: Eukaryota; Viridiplantae; Streptophyta; Magnoliopsida; Poales; Poaceae.
AUGGCCAAGUCGAAGAACUACAUGGCGCACAACCAGUCGUACAAGGCGCACAGGAACGGCAUUAAGAAGCCUAAGCGCCAGCGCCAGGCCUCCACCAAGGGGAUGGACCCGAAGUUCCCGAGGAACCUGAGGUACUCAAGGAAGCACAACGUCAAGGCUGGUGAGGGAGAGGUUGAGAACUUUGGCGGCCGCUUAACCACCACCAGGAUCGGGACGCCAUCAACAUCAUCAUUGCUAAUCUUCGUGCGAUGGCUCUACGCUUGGCGCUGCCGCUACCUCCGCCACCACCUGAGCCAGAUUAGUUUCCUCGUUGCGGUGCUACCGCCUUUUCUUUUUUCUUUUAGGGCUUGCUGA